RNAcentral lists this microRNA precursor (112 nucleotides) under Macaca mulatta (Rhesus monkey). RNAcentral's name for it is "microRNA mml-mir-1304 precursor". Lineage: Eukaryota; Metazoa; Chordata; Mammalia; Primates; Cercopithecidae. The record is from miRBase by way of RNAcentral.
UAAUCCCUUGAGCCCAGUGGUUCGAGGCUACAAUGAGAUGUGAUCCUGCCACAUCUCACUGUAGCCUCAAACCCUCGGGCUCAAGCGAUUCAGCAAGAAUCACACGAUUUUC